UGAGCAACCUGCCCUUGACCCCGGAAUAACAGUUGGAAACAGCUGCUAAUACCGGAUACGACCUCUUCCGACAUCUGGAGAGGUGGAAAGCCCUGGCGGUCAAGGAUGGGCUCGCGGCCUAUCAGCUUGUUGGUGAGGUAACGGCUCACCAAGGCUUCGACGGGUAGCCGGCCUGAGAGGGCGACCGGCCACACUGGGACUGAGAUACGGCCCAGACUCCUACGGGAGGCAGNAGUAGGGG
Molecule: ribosomal RNA, 241 nt
Filed under: uncultured bacterium
Lineage: Bacteria
Description: partial 16S ribosomal RNA
Rfam family: Bacterial small subunit ribosomal RNA
Source: RNAcentral